GAAUCUCUGAGACUGACCUCAGCAUGGGUAGUCACUCUUAGCUGGAGUACAAGAGUGAAGUAGUGAUGGAUAUGAUGAUGAUGGUGAUUGCCUUCCUGCCACUGGACCCUCCCCUCGGAAGCUUGCAGGAGGUCUGACUUUUCUUUGGCCAAAUCAUCAUUGGAAGAGGACAUUACAUAACAGGAACACAGAGGUGACCCUGUUCAAAGACCAUUAUUACUGCACUGUGUGUUUAUCUUCAAUGGAAGCCAUGAGCAUUGAAGAUUGCUUCUCCCUAAAAUUGCAGUUUAAAUUGCAACUGUAGUGUCUGAUACUCUGUAAUUCUUGGUAUAACAUGACUCUAAGAAAGCCAAUGUAUUUAUGUGUACAGAGGACCAAAAAGCAAGAAUUGUUCAUAUUAAAAUAUACUUUAAAGAAUUAGCCACUUUCUUUUUCCUAUACAGAAACUCAGAGACUUUGACUUGCUGGACAAGUACCACUGCUGUGAUAUUUUGAUCCCUCAAUUUUCAUUGUAUUAUCUUAACAUCUGAAGAAGAUGAGCCCACAGUAAAAGCUGUAAAGACAUUUUCUAUGCAACCAAGCAAACAAAUUUGUAGUAAGUUGAAAAAUACUGAUUGGUAAUUACGUUGUUACAGAACGCUGAUGUAUUUCUGCAGUGUUCAGUCUGGCCCCAUGGGCUAACAUUAUUUCUGAACGCCAGUGUUGGGUUAGGCUGUGUAGAGGAUCGGUUGUUCUUUCUUUUGGGGUCACCAGUUAUCAGGAAUAUUUUGACUAGGUUUGUGUUUCUUUAGUAGCAUAUCUAGUAACUGUAUAUUUUAUUUGCUUUCUGAUGUUAGAUUUCUCCAAGUAUCUACUGCUUCUUCCUCUUCUGAUGCAGUGAAUGAGCCCAGCAGACCCACGGCUAACUCAGGGAGGAGUUGUUGCUCUGGUGACAUCAUUUACUCAGAGUUCUCAUCUUACAUAAACUCUGGAGAUCCAAUGAAUCCACAUACAACAGUGCCAGGCCUUUAGACUGGGAAUUAACUGUAUUUUGUACCUGAGUGUAAAUUAUUGUUAUAUCUUGUUCUAAGGCUAUCCAAUCAAGUCAGCUUGCUACACCAUCUCUUUAUUACCUGUGUAAUAUCUUUAUGAUCUGAGGAGGAGUAUUGAGUGUGCUUUAGCUAUUUCCAAUGUAAAAUAUUUUAGAAAAAUCAGUGGGAGAAAGCCCAUUUCACAUUUUAUAUAAUGCAUAUAAGAAGAAAAUGGCUUCUUUGUUAACAAAUUAACCAUAUUAGAAUACAAAUCACAAACAUAAGAUGCAGAUUCAACUUCUUACUUCUUUAAGAUGAAAUUAUAAUAGGAAAAUUACAUUAAAGUGAAAACUUAAAGUGAUACAAUAUAUUGGAAAGUAUAAAAAUGGCAAAGUAUGACAAGAGAAAAAUGUCUUCAUCCCAGUCCCUUGCUGAUGCAGAUCCAAUCAUCACCUCCCCAGGCCUCAAAUUUCUCAUAUGGUAGAGUGAUUUCCAUGCUGUCAAGUCUAAAAUUCAAAUUUUCAGUAGCAUCUAGUUAAUCUACACAGAGAGUCAAACAUACCAAUAACACUUAAUUUUGAAUAAGUAUCUCUGGGGUCGUGUUUUACAACAGUUGAAGAAUGAGAUUUGAAUCUUGAAAAUGGUUCAGUUAUGAUUUUUUUUUCAUAUUGCCACAUUAGCAGCUUUACUAACAAAAAGCUAGCUUAUAGAAUAUUAACUCUUUGUGAAGUCAUGGGAAGGUGCUCAAGUUUCUAACCAAAGUUCCAAUAUGAUCAUACAGAUUACUGAAGAUUUUCUCAGCUCAUUUUUUUUAAUGUGCUGAAUUGUACAGUACAAAAAACCACAUGGGGUCUAGACAUUAUUUAAUACCACUGGCAGCCAAAUCAUACCAGGCCCCCUUUCAACUGCUUUUCAAUUGGUUUUGGAAAAUGACUUCAUCCAAAGUAGAAUACAAGAGGGGUUUUAUAUACACUCUUAUCUUUUUGUCCUGCUCACAGAAUGGCUUAAUAGUUCUUAUCCAUGGAAGGGGUGGGGACAUUCAGCAUCUGCCAAUAGUGUGUUCAUGCUCAUUUUCUUAAGCUAGAUUCUUCUUGACAUGGUUAAUGGAUUCCAGUGAUAAAACAUUUCUGUUCUCUUUAACCUGGAAUAUGAUUCUAAAGAUGUAAUGCUUAAGUUAAUUUCUUUACUUUAUUCAUUCAUUUUCUUAUUCAUAAGGGAGUCCAACUUUACUGCAACCUUUCUACAUGGGGAUUAAAUAACAGUUGAUCAGGCUCACCAUCAAGAAUUACACAAUAUAUAGGAAAAGCAUGUAUUUUAACAAAUAUUUGCAAUUAAGUAUAAUUAUCACUUUGUUAGAACAAAAUAGAUUAUUCAUUACAUAUAUCAAGCAUCUAUUAUAAACCUAAACCAUCCAAUGAAAGAGAACAUCUAUUGUAAAGAUUCAAUAACCAUGAUAACAAUCAAAAUAAUUAACAUGAAAUAUCUCCUGAUCCUUUCACAUGUAUAACCAAGAAUUAUUUAAGCAGAGAUUUUAUGAAUUAAUUGGAGUUUGAAUUAUGGUCUGAGGACAGGUGAGUACAGAGAAAAGUGGUACCACAUAGAUGAAAGCCUGGAGCAUUAAGAGCUUGGUGUGAUUAGGCUCUGGAAAAACUAAGAGUUCUGGAGCUUUCUUACAUUUGAAGGAAGUUGAGAUGGAGUCAUUUACAGUAGUUACACAUGAAAUACUUCCUGAUUCCUGUUGAAAAGCUACUAUCCAGUCAUGCUGGCCCUUUCUUCCUGAUGUGGAGUUCAUGGAACUCCAAAGAGUACCAAAGAGUACACGUGGAGUGACCCAUAGCUCCAGCCACAUAUGUGGCAGAGGAUGGCCUUAUUGGAAAUCAGUGGGAGGAGCAGCCCUUGGCCCUGAGAGAGUAUGAUACACCAGUGUAAGGAAAUGUCAGGGUGGGAAGGCAGAAGUUGGUGGUGGGGGAGCACCCUCAUAGAGACAGGAGAAAGGCACAUGGGAUAGGAAGUUUCCUGAGGGUAGACCUGGAAAAGAAGUAACAUUUGAAAUGUAGAUAAAGAAAAUAUCC
RNAcentral lists this long non-coding RNA (3082 nucleotides) under Mus musculus (house mouse). Its description in RNAcentral is "predicted gene, 47888". Lineage: Eukaryota; Metazoa; Chordata; Mammalia; Rodentia; Muridae. The record is from RNAcentral.